This 465-nucleotide ribosomal RNA is filed under the name uncultured bacterium. Its description in RNAcentral is "partial 16S ribosomal RNA". It matches the Rfam family "Bacterial small subunit ribosomal RNA", at positions 338 to 795 of the family's 1533-position model. The record is from RNAcentral.
CCUACGGGCGGCAGCAGUAGGGAAUCUUCCACAAUGGGCGAAAGCCUGAUGGAGCAACGCCGCGUGGGUGAAGAAGGUCUUCGGAUCGUAAAACCCUGUUGUUAGAGAAGAAAGUGCGUGAGAGUAACUGUUCACGUUUCGACGGUAUCUAACCAGAAAGCCACGGCUAACGACGUGCCAGCAGCCGCGGUAAUACGUAGGUGGCAAGCGUUAUCCGGAUUUAUUGGGCGUAAAGGGAACGCAGGCGGUCUUUUAAGUCUGAUGUGAAAGCCUUCGGCUUAACCGGAGUAGUGCAUUGGAAACUGGGAGACUGGAGUGCAGAAGAGGAGAGUGGAACUCCAUGUGUAGCGGUGAAAUGCGUAGAUAUAUGGAAGAACACCAGUGGCGAAAGCGGCUCUCUGGUCUGUAACUGACGCUGAGGUUCGAAAGCGUGGGUAGCAAACAGGAUUAGAUACCCGUGUAGUC